Molecule: ribosomal RNA, 779 nt
Filed under: uncultured Neocallimastigales
Lineage: Eukaryota; Fungi; Neocallimastigomycota; Neocallimastigomycetes; Neocallimastigales
Description: partial large subunit ribosomal RNA
Rfam family: Eukaryotic large subunit ribosomal RNA
Source: RNAcentral
CCGUCUAUAUACGUAUAGCAUAUCAAUAAGCGGAGGAAAAGAAACUAACAAGGAUUCCCCUAGUAACGGCGAGUGAAGCGGGAAGAGCUCAAAUUUGAAAUCUUAAAGGUUUUCCCUUGACGAAUUGUAGUUUAAAGAAGUGUUUUCGGUUAGAGGAGUUCGUAAAAGUUCUUUGGAAUAGGACAUCAUAGAGGGUGAGAAUCCCGUAUUUGACCUUACUUUCUAGCUGUGUGAUACACUUUCAAAGAGUCGGAUUGUUUGGGAAUGCAGUCCAAGAUGGGUGGUAAAUUUCAUCUAAAGCUAAAUAUUGGCGAGAGACCGAUAGCGAACAAGUACCGUGAGGGAAAGAUGAAAAGAACUUUGAGAAGAGAGUUAAACAGUACGUGAAAUUGUCAAAAGGGAAGCGUUUGACACCAGUGUUGUUUUCUCGAAAAUCAAUUACAAAUGGUUUUGUUUUAAGAGUUAUGACUUCAUCAGCUUUCUGCACUUUCUUUACUAAUCUUUCUUAAUGCACUUUUCGUUUAACAAGUCAACAUCAAUUUCUUUUGUUGUAAAAGGGUACAUGGAAGGUGGCUUUCUUUUCGGAGAAAGUGUAUAUAGCCUUGGACCUCUGCAAUCGGAGAGAUUGAGGUCUGCAGCGUAGAUCCUUCGGGGUUAGAUACAUUUGUGCUAAGUUAUAGCUUUUCAUAGACAACUUGUUGACUAUGAUUAAGUCAUUGUAGCUUACUCGCUUAUGCUAUUUUACCUACGCUUAGGAUGUUGACGCGCGUGUGUGCGUG